AAGUCGUAACAAGGUCUCCGUAGGUGAACCUGCGGAGGGAUCAUUCCAAGUACGGGGUGCCAGUGCAGUAAAAUGCGCUGGGCCCCACACACACACAAGCACCACAGUCUGACUAUACACUACACAGAAUCACGGCCUCAGGGCCACACCAACCAAAACAACUGUUAGCAACGGAUCACUCGGCUCUCGU
This 190-nucleotide unclassified non-coding RNA is filed under the name fungal sp. Its description in RNAcentral is "partial internal transcribed spacer region". The stretch from base 1 to 46 matches the Rfam family "Eukaryotic small subunit ribosomal RNA", at positions 1786 to 1831 of the family's 1831-position model. The record is from RNAcentral. Lineage: Eukaryota; Fungi.